AUGAAGGUGAACAUGGAGGCCCAACGCGUGUGGGACGCUAUCGAGGGAGGCGGGAGCUUCAGCCAGGACAGGGCGGCGCUUGCGGCAAUUCUGCGAGCCGUGCCGGAGGAGAUGCACUCCAUGCUUGCCGUGAAGGCGACGACAAAGGAGGCAUGGGAUGCCAUCAAGAUAAUGCGGGUCGGCGAUGCCCGCGUCCGUGACGCCAAGGCGCAGACUCUCCUCAAGGAGUUUGAUGCCGUCCGCAUGAGGAGCGGCGAGGCCCUCGAUGAGCUCGCCAUGCGCAUGAACGGGAUCGCCAACAAGCUGCGCACGCUCGGCGAGAACCUCGACGAGGUGAAGGUCGUGAAGAAGCUUCUCCGCAUCGUGCCGUCCAAGUAUACCCAGGUAGCUAUUGCCAUUGAGCAGCUUCUUGAUCUUAAAACCAUGUCCAUGGAAGAGCUUGUGGGAAGGCUCAAAACGGCGGAGGACCGGAGCGACUUGGACGAGGGCGCCAACAACUACGACCAGGGUGGUGGGAGUCGCCUGCUCCUCACGGAGGAGGAGUGGCUUGCUCGCUACCGCAGCGGCGCCGGCAAGAAGAAGAGAAACUUCGACAUCCGGAAGGUCCGCUGCUACACUUGCCAAGAGUACGGGCAUUACUCCAGGGACUGUACUAAGCCAAAGAAGGAGCGGGCGCUUCUCGCCGACGCGACCGCCGACGACCAGCCGGGGCUGUACUGA
RNAcentral lists this ribosomal RNA (720 nucleotides) under Triticum aestivum (bread wheat). RNAcentral describes it as "partial small subunit ribosomal RNA". Lineage: Eukaryota; Viridiplantae; Streptophyta; Magnoliopsida; Poales; Poaceae. The record is from RNAcentral.